AUGGAAACACCUUUACCACAUUCCGCCAAUCUUACUAGCAGCAGGGUUUUUGUACGGCCACUAAACCUGUUUGUAUCACUGUGGUACACUUUUGGCGGAGGAACCAAACUGUCUGUGGGCCGUCUCACCCGGCCCAGUGUGACGGUGCUGCCCCCCUCCAGUGUGGACCUGCAGCAGGAGAAGGUCACACUCGUUUGUGUGGCCAACAAGGGCUUCCCCUCGGACUGGAGGCUGACCUGGAAGGUUAAUGGGAACAGCUGGACCUCGGGGGAGAGUCACAGUGCUGAUGUUCUGCACACAGACGGCCUCUACAGCUGGAGCAGCACGCUGAGCCUCCGCUCGGAGCAGUGCAGGAACAAGCUGGUGACCUGUGAGGCCUUCAAGGAGAACCAACCUACUGUGGUGAGCACAGUGAACAUAGAGCAGUGCUCAGAGCUGUGAGCUUACACACACUUCUACUGCUUUACUGUGUGUUACAUCUGAUCUUUACUGCUCAAAUGUCAAAUUUUUAAAUAAAAGGUUUUGUUCAACAAUAAAA
Non-coding RNA from Clarias gariepinus (North African catfish), 538 nucleotides. The record is from the annotation of a RefSeq genome assembly. NCBI's taxonomy places the organism in Eukaryota, Metazoa, Chordata, Actinopteri, Siluriformes, Clariidae.